UACGUAGGUGGCAAGCGUUGUCCGGAUUUAUUGGGUUUAAAGGGUGCGUAGGUGGUCUAUUAAGUCAGUGCUGAAAUAUCCCGGCUUAACCGGGAGGGUGGCAUUGAUACUGAUGGACUUGAGUAAAGUUGAGGUAGGCGGAAUUGACGGUGUAGCGGUGAAAUGCUUAGAUAUCGUCAAGAACACCUAUUGCGAAGGCAGCUUACUAAGCUUUAACUGACACUGAUGCACGAAAGUGUGGGGAUCAAACAGG
This 253-nucleotide ribosomal RNA is filed under the name uncultured bacterium. RNAcentral describes it as "partial 16S ribosomal RNA". It matches the Rfam family "Bacterial small subunit ribosomal RNA", at positions 524 to 776 of the family's 1533-position model. The record is from RNAcentral.